This 552-nucleotide long non-coding RNA is filed under the name Elaeis guineensis (African oil palm). RNAcentral's name for it is "long non-coding RNA (EGUI_LNC026021)". Lineage: Eukaryota; Viridiplantae; Streptophyta; Magnoliopsida; Arecales; Arecaceae. The record is from RNAcentral.
CUGUUGUAAACAUCUGUAGAUCUGUGCACAGAACUAAAGUGAAACAUUUAGGAAUUGUCUGAUACCUGCUCUCUGCACAGGACAUAAAGAUAUAAAUAGGAUUAGACGAAAUAAAAGGGUUUAAAAAGUGAAAGAAUUUGUUAUAGAAGCCAUUGUAUAAAAGAGAUUGUUUCUUUUUCUUGUUUUCUUACUUCAGCCACUGUAUCUUCAUGAAGCAUAAUCUGAUGAACAUUCGGUUCUUAAUUUGACCAGCUUUUGGUUGCUUGUUCGUGGUUCAUGUUCAUGCAGCCCCAUUCCCGUUUCUUUUACCAUUGCUUCUUUUUCUUCGCUGUGGUUUCAGAUUGAGUGUUUGGUUUGGGGGAUCACAGCUAGCAAACAAUGGAAAAGUGGGAGAUAUCUUUUCUAACAUCUCAACAAAAGCUUGUAUAUGGACCGUGCCACGGACUCAAUUAGUUGAAUGGCACCGGAGCUGCUAUUGCUUGGCUUUGUUAGUUCAUGCCAGUUGUCGUUGCCAGUUGUCGUUGCUGUGGAUGUGGUUACCCUGAAGAUUAG